Molecule: long non-coding RNA, 595 nt
Filed under: Physcomitrium patens
Lineage: Eukaryota; Viridiplantae; Streptophyta; Bryopsida; Funariales; Funariaceae
Description: long non-coding RNA (PPAT_LNC014832)
Source: RNAcentral
GCUGGUGGCGGAUACAGGCUAGUAUGUGGAUGGAAGUGGAGAUGGCGCACCAAAAUAUCCAAUUCUGUUGUUUGCGCCAUGCCCACAAGAGAAGCCAGCUUUAGUCGAGGAAAUGCGCCUGACCUUGGAGCACAGCAAGGGCUCCGAUGAAUUCAGAGCUGCAUUGUACCGGCCUAGGAUCACAGUUGCAGGGUGAUUCUUCAUGCAGCAUUUGAACCAUGCUCGUCAGAAAAAGGAUGACAUUGUACACCCCAUGUUGAGGACCAUACCCUCCACUUCGUCUUUUAAUAUUCAUAAGAUCGAAAGGCUUUCGUGCCAGAACUCUACCUCUUCACAGGCCGCUUGUCCAAGGUUUUCCCCAUAGUGCACAACAUGCACCCACAGUCUCCUUGUUGGAUUCUGUUGCAACUCUGCCAUGAAAGUCGACGGCAUGCACACUGGCUCCAGGCAUAGCGAGAGAAUGCACUCUGUGCAAGUCAUGAACGUUGCAAGUUAAUCCAGUCCGUGACAAAUCAUAGCUAUGGUUUGUUCUACAACGUUGAGAAGAGACGCCCAGUCACAACGAGUGUCAACAAAAUCAGGGUGGCUGCAAAAC